CCUCGAAUCAGGUGGGACUACCCGCUGAACUUAAGCAUAUCAAUAAGCGGAGGAAAAGAAACUAACAAGGAUUCCCCUAGUAACGGCGAGUGAAGCGGGAUGAGCUCAAAUUUAAAAUCUGAUAGUCUUUGGCCGUCCGAGUUGUAAUCUAGAGAAGUGUUUUCCGCGUUGGACCAUGUACAAGUUUCCUGGAACGGAACGUCAUAGAGGGUGAGAAUCCCGUCCUUGACAUGGACUACCAGUGCUUUGUGAUACACUCUCAACGAGUCGAGUUGUUUGGGAUUGCAGCUCAAAAUGGGAGGUAAAUUCCUUCUAAAGCUAAAUAUUGGCGAGAGACCGAUAGCGAACAAGUACCGUGAGGGAAAGAUGAAAAGCACUUUGGAAAGAGAGUUAAACAGUACGUGAAAUUGUUAAAAGGGAAACGAUUGAAGUCAGUCGCGUUUACUUGGACUCAGCCUUACCUCGGUUUGGUGCAUUUCCUUGUGAACGGGGCAGCGUCAAUGUUGUCCGUUGGAAAAGGGUUGGAGAAAUGUGGCUCUUUCGGGAGUGUUAUAGUCUCUGAUCGUAUACAACGGCUGAUAUUGAGUGGUACAGCAUGCUUCGGCGGUGCUUGUGCUGGC
Molecule: ribosomal RNA, 620 nt
Filed under: uncultured Basidiomycota
Lineage: Eukaryota; Fungi; Basidiomycota
Description: LSU rRNA
Rfam family: Eukaryotic large subunit ribosomal RNA
Source: RNAcentral